Molecule: ribosomal RNA, 484 nt
Filed under: uncultured bacterium
Lineage: Bacteria
Description: partial 16S ribosomal RNA
Rfam family: Bacterial small subunit ribosomal RNA
Source: RNAcentral
AUUGAACGCUGGCGGCAGGCCUAACACAUGCAAGUCGAGCGGCUGAAGGGAGCUUGCUCCUGGAUUCAGCGGCGGACGGGUGAGUAAUGCCUAGGAAUCUGCCUGGUAGUGGGGGAUAACGUCCGGAAACGGGCGCUAAUACCGCAUACGUCCUGAGUGAGAAAUUGGGGGCACUUCGGACCUCACGCUAUCAGAUGAGCCUAGGUCGGAUUAGCUAGGUGGUGGGGUAAAGGCCUACCAAGGCGACGAUCCGUAACUGGUCUGAGAGGAGGGUCAGGCACCCCGGAACGGAGACACGGUCCGGACCACUAUGGUAGGGGGGAGUGGGGAAAAGUAGACUAUGGGAGAAAGGCUAAUCCAGACCUGCCGAGUGUGGUGAGAAGGGCCGCGGAUAUGAAAUGUCUUCAAGUUUGGAGGAGGGGUAGUAAGGUAAUACCGUGCGGUUUUGACGUUACCAAAAGAAUAAGCACCGGCUAACUUCGUG